This 73-nucleotide transfer RNA is filed under the name Gemmatimonadota bacterium. Its description in RNAcentral is "tRNA-Ala". It matches the Rfam family "tRNA". Rfam says of the family: Transfer RNA (tRNA) molecules are approximately 80 nucleotides in length. Their secondary structure includes four short double-helical elements and three loops (D, anti-codon, and T loops). Further hydrogen bonds mediate the characteristic L-shaped molecular structure. tRNAs have two regions of fundamental functional importance: the anti-codon, which is responsible for specific mRNA codon recognition, and the 3' end, to which the tRNAs corresponding amino acid is attached (by aminoacyl-tRNA synthetases). tRNAs cope with the degeneracy of the genetic code in two manners: having more than one tRNA (with a specific anti-codon) for a particular amino acid; and 'wobble' base-pairing, i.e. permitting non-standard base-pairing at the 3rd anti-codon position. Lineage: Bacteria; Pseudomonadati; Gemmatimonadota. The record is from RNAcentral.
GGGGCCUUAGCUCAGCUGGGAGAGCGCCGCACUUGCACUGCGGAGGUCACCGGUUCGAUCCCGGUAGGCUCCA